GCUUCACGGCGCCGGGACCCGGGCUGGAAGGCAGGGCAUCAGCUAUGGAACAACCUGGGCAGGAUCCCACCUCAGAAGACGUCAUGGACUCGUUCCUGGAAAAGUUCCAGAGCCAGCCUUACCGUGGCGGCUUUCAUGAGGACCAGUGGGAGGAGGAAUUUGAAAAGGUCCCCCUAUUUAUGACGAGAGCGCCAUCAGAAAUUGAUCCCAGGGAGAAUCCUGACUUGGCUUGUCUCCAGUCAAUUAUUUUUGAUGAGGAGCGUUCUCCAGAAGAACAGGCCAAGACCUAUAAAGAUGAGGGCAAUGAUUACUUUAAAGAAAAAGACUACAAGAAAGCUGUAAUUUCAUACACUGAAGGCUUAAAGAAGAAAUGUGCAGAUCCUGAUUUGAAUGCUGUCCUUUAUACCAACCGGGCAGCAGCACAGUACUAUCUGGGUAAUUUAUAAGUGCUUUCUGAAGAAUAAACUUAUGAUACAAGCCAUUAUGAUGGUAGUGGAGGUUAGAGAACAUCAGAGGAUGAGGGGCUGUUAUCACAGAAACCCAGACUA
This 548-nucleotide small RNA is filed under the name Pongo abelii (Sumatran orangutan). Its description in RNAcentral is "retained intron". Lineage: Eukaryota; Metazoa; Chordata; Mammalia; Primates; Hominidae. The record is from RNAcentral.